This 484-nucleotide ribosomal RNA is filed under the name uncultured bacterium. RNAcentral's name for it is "partial 16S ribosomal RNA". It matches the Rfam family "Bacterial small subunit ribosomal RNA", at positions 30 to 507 of the family's 1533-position model. The record is from RNAcentral.
AUUGAACGCUGGCGGCAGGCCUAACACAUGCAAGUCGAGCGGAUGAAGGGAGCUUGCUCCUGGAUUCAGCGGCGGACGGGUGAGUAAUGCCUAGGAAUCUGCCUGGUAGUGGGGGAUAACGUCCGGAAACGGGCGCUAAUACCGCAUACGUCCUGAGGGAGAAAGUGGGGGAUCUUCGGACCUCACGCUACCAGAUGAGCCUAGGUCGGAUUAGCUAGUUGGUGGGGUAAAGGCCUACCAAGGCGACGAUCCGUAACUGAUCUGAGAGGAUGAUCAGUCACACUGGAACUGAGACACGGUCCAGACUCCUACGGGAGGCAGCAGUAGGGAAUCUUGGGCAAUGGGCGAAAGCCUGAUCGAGCCAUGCCGCGUGUGUGAAGAAGGUCUUCGGAUUGUAAAACUCUUUUAGUAGGGAAGAAGAGAAGUAAGUUAAUACCUUGAUAUCUUGACGUUACCUACACAAUAAGCACCGGCUAACUACGUG